Molecule: non-coding RNA, 579 nt
Organism: Equus caballus (horse)
Lineage: Eukaryota; Metazoa; Chordata; Mammalia; Perissodactyla; Equidae
Source: RefSeq, a predicted model, not a curated record
UCUCUCCCGCCUCAUUGGCUCCUCUCUCAGCAAGGGGAAGGAUUUCAUCUUAUUGGCGGACUUGACGGAGGGGAGAAACUGGGUUUGCCUUGUGCUCGUUCUGCUCGUCUUGGGAGCGCUCACGCCUAAGGGUGUGCAGGUCGAGGCCUGGCCCUCGGCGCCGUGCCAGGAAAUCUGAGACCUCUCAGGCCAAGAAGAUCACCUUGAGGACUCUAUUCUAAAGGCCAUUGAACUUCUUUGGAAAAAAGAACGGUCCUGCUAAGGUGAUAACUGCAAACCAGUGAAGUGAUUGAAGCUAUUGAGGGCGCAGAGGAAAACUGCUGCCCAGAGAGGUCACUGGAAGCCGUCUCUGAGGGUCCUCCUCCAGUGAUUGCAGAGACUUGAACCGAAAUAUUGUCUCUUCCUGGAUCUCAAGCCUGCUGACCUUCAGACUGGAAGUACACCAUUGGCUCUCCUGGGCCUCCUGCCUGCACAUCUUGGAGCUUGUCAGCCUCCAUAAUCACUACUAGAGAUGCAGAGGAGGAUCGGACAUGGGUGUUACUUAUUAAAGGAGCUCACAUUCUGGCAGAGGAGACAGGU